RNAcentral lists this ribosomal RNA (937 nucleotides) under Wallemia sebi. RNAcentral describes it as "LSU rRNA". It matches the Rfam family "Eukaryotic large subunit ribosomal RNA", at positions 38 to 959 of the family's 3401-position model. Lineage: Eukaryota; Fungi; Basidiomycota; Wallemiomycetes; Wallemiales; Wallemiaceae. The record is from RNAcentral.
GCAUAUCAAUAAGCGGAGGAAAAGAAACUAACAAGGAUUCCCCUAGUAACGGCGAGUGAAGAGGGAAAAGCUCAAAUUUAAAAGCUGUUGUCUUUCAGGCAACCGCAUUGUAAUCUCAAGAAGUGUUUUCGAUUGUAGCCUGCGUAUAAGUACCUUGGAAUAGGUUGGCAUAGAGGGUGAAACUCCCGUCUUUGAUGCAGAUUACUAUGAUCAUGUGAUACACUUUCUAAGAGUCGAGUUGUUUGGGAAUGCAGCUCAAAAUGGGUGGUAAAUUCCAUCUAAAGCUAAAUAUUGGCCUGAGACCGAUAGCGAACAAGUACCGUGAGGGAAAGAUGAAAAGCACUUUGGAAAGAGAGUCAAACAGAACGUGAAAUUGCUGAAAGGGAAGCGUUUGAAGUUAGUCUGAUAGGAGUUGUUCAAUUGUUACUUUGGUUUCAAUGUAUGCAACUUUUUAUCGGUCAACAUCAAUUUUGAUUGAUGGAUAAAGGUAAUAGGAAUGUGGCUACAAUUUGUAGUGUUAUAGCCUAUUAUCAUAAACAUUGAUUGAGAUUGAGGACGGCAGUGUACCUUUUAGGAAGGUGUUCGCACCUAUUACACUAAGGAUGUUGACAAAAUAGCUUUAAGCGACCCGUCUUGAAACACGGACCAAGGAGUCUAACAUAUCUGCGAGUAUUUGAGUGACAAACUCGAAUGCGUAAUGAAAGUGAAUGUAGGUGUGAAGCGUAAGCUGCAACAUCGACCGAUCUGGAAUUUUUAUAAUGAUGGAUUUGAGUAAGAGCAUAUAUGUUGGGACCCGAAAGAUGGUGAACUAUGCCUGAAUAGGGUGAAGCCAGAGGAAACUCUGGUGGAGGCUCGUAGCGGUUCUGACGUGCAAAUCGAUCGUCAAAUUUGGGUAUAGGGGCGAAAGACUAAUCGAACCAUCUAGUAGCUGGUUCCU